Molecule: non-coding RNA, 55 nt
Organism: OM182 bacterium
Lineage: Bacteria; Pseudomonadati; Pseudomonadota; Gammaproteobacteria
Source: Rfam
CGCGGGAUAGAGCAGUAGGUAGCUCGUCGGGCUCAUAACCCGAAGGUCACUGGUU